AGAGUUUGAUCCUGGCUCAGGACCAACGCGGGCGGCGUGCUUAACACAUGCGAGUGGAGCGACCACCCCUUCGGGGGGCAAAGCCGCGAACGGGUGAGUAACACGUGGGUAACCUGCCCCGAUGACUGGGACAACCCGGGGAAACCCGGGCUAAUACCGGAUAUGGUGUUCACACUCAAGUGUGAUUAUCAAAGGUAGCUUCGGCUUCCGCAUCGGGAGGGGCCCGCGGCCCAUUAGCCUGGUGGGGGGGUAACGGCCUACCAAGGCAACGAUGGGUAGCUGGUCUGAGAGGACGAUCAGCCACGCUGGGACUGAGACACGGCCCACACUCCUACGGGAGGCAGCAGUGGGGAAUCUUGCGCAAUGCGCGAAAGCGUGACGCACCAACGCCGCGUGAGGGAAGACGGCCUUCGGGUUGUAAACCUCUUUCAGGGGGGACGAAGGCCGGCCGGUGAAUAGCCGAGUCGGUUGACGGUACCUUAAAAAGAAGCUCCGGCUAACUACGUGCCAGCAGCCGCGGUAAUACGUAGGGAGCAAGCGUUGUCCGGAAUCAUUGGGCGUAAAGCGCGCGUAGGCCGCCCAAUAAGUCCGUUGUAAAAAGUCAAAGGCUUAAUCUUUUGAAUUGCCGAUGGAUACUGUCGGGC
RNAcentral lists this ribosomal RNA (644 nucleotides) under uncultured bacterium. RNAcentral's name for it is "bacterial SSU rRNA". It matches the Rfam family "Bacterial small subunit ribosomal RNA", at positions 8 to 641 of the family's 1533-position model. The record is from RNAcentral.